AAGGCUUCAGCUUUCUUUGAGUUUUUUGCUUGCACUUUUUUCAAUGUGUUUGGAAAUGUUUAAUUGAAGCCUAGAUGUGUGUUCCCCUCGCUAUCCAUUGUUGCAAUUUUGAUGCCGCAUUUGGACGUCGGGGAACUAAAUCG
This is a non-coding RNA of Glycine soja, 143 nucleotides long. The record is from Rfam. NCBI's taxonomy places the organism in Eukaryota, Viridiplantae, Streptophyta, Magnoliopsida, Fabales, Fabaceae.